UAGGGGUUCUGAGAGGAUGAUCCCCCACACUGGUACUGAGACACGGACCAGACUCCUACGGGAGGCAGCAGUAGGGAAUAUUGGGCAAUGGUCGAGAGACUGACCCAGCCAUGCCGCGUGCAGGAAGACGGCCUUAUGGGUUGUAAACUGCUUUUACACAGGGGUAACAGUAGGUACGUGUACCUAUUUGAAAGUACUGUGAGAAUAAGGAUCGGCUAACUCCGUGCCAGCAGCCGCGGUAAUACGGAGGAUCCAAGCGUUAUCCGGAUUUAUUGGGUUUAAAGGGUGCGCAGGCGGAAUAGUAAGUCAGCGGUGAAAUCUCUCGGCUUAACCGAGGAACUGCCGUUGAUACUGCUAAUCUAGAGUUUAGACGGCGUAGGCGGAAUAUGUCAAGUAGCGGUGAAAUGCGUAGAUAUGACAUAGAACACCGAUAGGGUAGCCAGCUUACGAGGCUAAUACUGACGCUCAAGCACGAAAGCGUGGGGAUCAAACAGGAUUAGAUACCCUGGUAGUCCACGCAGUAAACGAUGAUCACUCGUUGUCGGCGAUAUACCGCCGGUGGCCAAGCGAAAGUGAUAAGUGAUCCACCUGGGGAGUACGUUCGCAAGUAUGAAACUCAAAGGAAUUGACGGGGGCCCGCACAAGCGGAGGAGCAUGUGGUUGAACCUUACCUAGACUUGAACGUAUUUGGAAUGAAGUGGAAACAUUUCAGUCAGCAAUGACCAUUUACGAGGUGCUGCAUGGUUGUCGUCAGCUCGUGCCGUGAGGUGUUAGGUUAAGUCCUGCAACGAGCGCAACCCUUACUGUUAGUUACCAGCAUGUCAUGAUGGGGACUCUAGCGGAACUGCCGGCGCAAGCCGUGAGGAAGGUGGGGAUGACGUCAAAUCAGCACGGCCCUUACGUCUAGGGCGACACACGUGCUACAAUGGGCGGUACAGAGGGCAGCUACCACGCGAGUGGAUGCCAAUCUCGAAAGCCGUUCUCAGUUCGGAUUGGAGUCUGCAACCCGACUCCAUGAAGUUGGAUUCGCUAGUAAUCGCGCAUCAGCCAUGGCGCGGUGAAUACGUUCCCGGGCCUUGUA
RNAcentral lists this ribosomal RNA (1081 nucleotides) under termite gut metagenome. Its description in RNAcentral is "bacterial SSU rRNA". It matches the Rfam family "Bacterial small subunit ribosomal RNA", at positions 284 to 1385 of the family's 1533-position model. The record is from RNAcentral.